Gasterosteus aculeatus aculeatus (three-spined stickleback) is the source of this 5799-nucleotide long non-coding RNA. The record is from Ensembl. NCBI's taxonomy places the organism in Eukaryota, Metazoa, Chordata, Actinopteri, Perciformes, Gasterosteidae.
CCUCUGCAGGUGCGCAGGUGUCCUCUGCAGGUGCCCAGGUGUCCUCUGCAGGUGCCCAGGUGUCCUCUGCAGGUACGCAGGUGUCCUCCGCAGGUGCGCAGGUGUCCUCCGCAGGUGCACAGGUGUCCUCUGCAGGUGCGCAGGUGUCCUCUGCAGGCCCCGCCCCUCCCCGCCGCUGAAAUGUUUACAUGAGUUCAUAGAUUUGUUUUUUGCAGCGAUUCGCCGGCCCAUUAAAAAAGAAUAAGCGCUUAUGACAUAUUCAAAGAGGGCAUGUCUGGAGUACAAAGUCUAGGGGAGGCUAUGAUUCAUUAAUGGAGCCAUGAAUACAUAACCCUCUGUUGUACGAUAUCAUACUCACUGUUGAAUUCAUGGGGACAUUCACAUAUUUUUCCUGUGCAAAGAUUCGAGACACCAUUACAAAGGGUAUAUGAGCGAGAUUGAGGAGCUUUCUAAACAAUUCAUAAGGCCACAGCGGAGCUUUCACAGCUACGCCGGGCUUCAAGUGUUGAGAUUCUGUUUCACGUUCAUGUUUUACUUUUAAUAAUUAAGACGCCCAUGAAAAGGAUUUUAUGGGUGAACGAUAAACAAGCGCUAACACAACUCUUAAUUCAUCGUUUGCCCUUCGUGUUAUUUAUUACCAAUCAUUACUCAUUUGAGGAAAGGUACCUGCAGGCUCAUGUUCACGCGUUCAUUCUGCAGCCCGCCGAGUCGUUCCCGCCGCAACGUCCACACGGAGGACUUUGUUGUUGUAGCACAAGAACUCCUCCAUCCAUAAAUCAUCACAUUAGUUAAGUGACCUUUUGCAAAACUGGCAACCUGAGAGGAGAAACCUGACGAACAGCAUUUAAAGUUGAUGAAAUCAAUGGAGUGAAUUUACAUUUCGUCCUUGAUAUGUUUGUAGUAUAAACCGAUUUGUCAAAUGUAACCUGGGUUGAUUUAUUAUGUUUCCGUCACAUUACGUAUUCAUUUAACACAACUCAUCAGUUUCACAUGAUUUCGUACUGGAAAAUAAUUUUUUAACACACGUAAAUAUCUGCAGUCUUUUCAAAAUAAAGAUUGUCGUGUGUUUGAGUUCAUUGUGUCGUGGACUUGGAGGGUUCAUGGGGUUAAUGGACUUUUUUUCCUUCGGAUUCUGAAAAGACUGAAAAGAACGUAACACGUGAUGAGGAACCUUCAAAGCAAAACUCACAAAAAGUUCCCAAAACAUCCACAAACUGCUUGAGGAAAAAGUCACCGGAGCCGCCGAAUGUUACAGGGACCAUGUAAUUAAUACUCAUUGGUCUAACACAAUAAUUCCGUGUGUUCUUGGUUCGAGCUUAGUUCAGAAGGAGCUUCAGACCUCAAAGAGCGCAGAGACGUUUUGUUGAGCUUUAAUAACUUUGUCUCGUUGUCUCUCUCUGUCUCUGUCCGUCUGUCUGUCCUCCUUCGCCUAAUUGCCGCGAACUCUCUGCUCGCUUCUCUCUGUCUCUCGCAGAAAAGAAAGAAGAGAGAAGCUUAUGUUUGUAUCUGGCUUUUAUCUAUAUUUUAAGCCACACACGAGGUGUAGGUGCGGCCUGGAGCUUGUUACACGGGCCCACGGCUGCAUAAUUCACGAGGAGGAGCGACUAAAUAAAAGAUCUCUGCCCGGACGGAGGAGCGCGCGCCACCUGCGUGCAGGUGUGUGUCUGUUUGGGCUUUUCCUCUGAUCCGCGAUCAAUACGGGUGUGUACGACACACACACUCACAUUCCUGUUGUGUCUCUCUUUACGCUGAGGAGACCCUCUCAGGGCCGUGGAUCUGCCCCUCCUCCUCCUCCUCCUCCUCCUCUUCCUCCUCUUCCUCACACUUUCCCACAAACUAAUCGAGUAGUUUCCUCUGAAGGUUGAGACUCAUUCUGAAGAGGCUGGAAAGUCGCACAUGUUGCUGCACAAAAUGCACAAAACAAAAUUAGAAGUAACUUUUACGAUCCGCUGCUGGGUUUUUUUUUUCACCUGUUCAGUGUUUCCGGUUUUAUUCUGGUACCGACCCCCUGAUUGACCUCCUCUGAUUGUCGUCUCCAGUCCCUCAUUGUCUCCAAGCUUCCGGGUUGCGUCCUUAAACGCUCGAGGAGUCUUUAUUAGCGUCACAUCUGUCUCCUGACAGCUUUGGGCCUCUUGGCUGUGUAAUAUUUUGGAUAAUAAAUAAAUAAAUAAAACUCGUCCUGUUGCCUCCUCAUACGUCCAUCUGCGUUUUGGUCCAAACCUCUGAUUCCCCCGCGGGGCCAGUGUGACUAAUGAACCUCAUCAGCAUCAGUGUCUUCCAGUCGGUCAGAUAUGCUUCUCCAACUCCUUCUACAAUAAAAAUAAAACCUGUAUUUUAAACCUUUGAAAUGAUUGAAUCAGUAAAAAUAAACUUCUCUCUUCAACUGUAUCAGGAUUAUCUCCUUAAGGGACCAUUUCCAUCUGUUCUCUUCACAGUGGAAGCAGUUUUAUUCCAGCUUAGUGAUAACUGUCCAUACUGCAGAUCAGGGCUGAUUUUAACAGAUUAAAUAGUAAAACUGUUGGAAACUGGGCAACAGGCACGAAACUGCAUUCGGCGGAUUGCAGCUGCAAAUCGGACGGCGGAGACGAAGAUGCACGAGGGUGACUUUCUUUCUUUCUUUCUGCCAAGCCUCUCUCCUCAUCUUCUCCUCCUCGCCUCAUUUCUCUCUCCGCAGCAACAGCACACGGAAUCCUCUCAUCGUCUUUGUCUCGUCCGUCAUGUUUUUCUCCGUCCUCGUGAGACGCUCGGGAGCGAUGAAGAGCCACGUGGCUGCAGCUGCUGCAUUUCUGAAUGGGGGCUGUGGGAAGAGAGGGUAGAAGGCCGGGUCAGAAGGGACGGAGGCAGACGGAGGGGGUGGGGGGGGAGGGGGGGUGAGUUCAGGGAAGACGGCGUGUGAGACGCGUGGAGCAGCCGUGGCGUGGGAGAAGGCCUGACGCCUGACGGACGCCCGGGAGGAGGAGGCUGCGUGCGGGUUGAUCCCUCUAAAAGCCUCGGCGCUUCAGCGAGCUCAAAUUAUUGCGAGCGUACGAGGAACAAGGGCUCCGCUUCGGGGGGGGGGGGGCGAGCCACCCAGGAGACCGACUCGCCUCGGGGCGACUCUUCCAGAAGAAAGUAACAUGGGAGAAAAAUAAUAGGAGGUGGGAGUACAAGGGGAGGAGGGGUUGGAGGGGAGAAAGUGUUGAGUCGUGGGGGGUUUUCGGAGCGGUCGCUGAGGGAAGUUGAGGGCAUUUUUAUUCCCGGCUCUCACUUCUCCGAGGCCUUUCAAGCUGCUCUGCUCUCCUCACUCAGACCGGUCUCUUCUCACUCCAUCACCUCCCCCCCCUCACUCCCCGCCAUGCUCUGCUCUGCUGUUUUCUCCCGACAACGCCAUCUGGAGACAUCAGUUAACAUGGUAACAAAGCUCUUUAGGCAGACGGCUUGUUGCUUGGACGUGGCGAAGGGCUCCCUCCCUCCUCCAGGCGUCUUUUUCAUCCUCCUUACCUUCCUCUCUCUCUCUCUCCCCCUUUGUGUGUCCAUCCAUGAUUCAUCGGGCUCCACAGGCCAGUUCACCGAUGAUGAGGCCUUCGUUUGCGUCUCCAUCUUGUGUCCACCUUCUCCACCAGGCUCCUAAACCUUCUCUGAGUUCAUUUGGGACCUUUAAACCUGCCUCUGGGUAUCAGGCCAAAUGUGAAAAUUGGGCAAACUGGGGAAAAUGAUUUCACCAUUAACUCUACAUGCAUUGUAGAAACAGUCUCAUCUGUCAGGAGGAGGAAACCGUCACAAGCAUCCCGCUCAUUCCUGCUCAUUGCCUCACUGGAGAGACACGCUGGGUUGCUUUGGAAUGAAACGGACGUCAUUCUUUUUAUCGAUGGCACACGAUCGACUGGUUGAUUGCGAUCGACCUAUUGGGCUCCCCUGCAGUGGAGGAUCUUCCCUACAACUGUUGCAUCAAAGGCGGAUGCACACUAGAUUUAUUCUGCAGCACCAAGAUUUCCCUUCAUCAGACAUUAAUGGCCCCCGCGCCAAAACAGGAAAAGGCCCAAAUCUGGAGUCCGCAAAGCGGUGCGGGUCACCGCCCCGGAGCGCACACGCUCCCUCGAGAGGAAGCUUUUCCACCCGCUCACACUUUUCUGCGCUUCUCAUAAGACACGUGCACGGGCCUGUUUUUUUCAUGCGCGCGGGCCUCUAAACUAAUUAAACACUCUGGGAUUCUCGGACAAGAUAAAUGUUGCAUGGCUUCAUAAAAUGGAGAAACGGAUGCGUUCCUUCUGGUGAUUUGUCCCACGAUGGGACGUCUGGUGCUACUCGAAGCUCCGCUUCAAUCUUGCCUCUCGCGACCCUUUAUGCAGGAAUAACAUCUCUGGCUCCCCUUUCGGAGAACGGGAGAUUAAAAUCCCCUGCAACUAUAACAAAGAGCAACUUUGUUUCUCUUAAUCCCUCCUGCAGCAUCUCUUCGUGCACAUCUCAAACCACACUCGUAAAACCUUUACAUAUCCCCCAGAGCCUCGUGCCUACAGUCCCGCCUGUUAGCCCAGGACCUCACGCUGCACUCGCCCCCUGCAAGAAGCGACAACCUGCUGGAACCGCCCGGCUCCAUAAGAACGUCCUCGUUCCAAAGAGAUAAAACUCAACCCAGGACAGGAACACCCUCGCUGACACACUUACCGCUCUCGCCCACACCCUCUCUCUCUCUCUCUUAGUGAGGCCCACGGGCCACGGAGCGCCGUGACUGAUAUGCGUUCCGACAUGUCAAACGGGGAGGCGGCGGGGCGCUGCCCGUGGCAACCGGGAGGAACAUGCUAAUAGCGAGGUGCAUUAGUGCACUCACAGACGGGCCCGCUAAUCAGAGCGGACGUUUGGCCCGUUAUGACUCUCCGGCGGCGAGAGUGGCUCCUCCAUCACUCUCGGCGUGUGCACCGUCACCAGCUGCAACUCUUCCGCAGUACGUCGGCCGCCUCCACCUUCGAGCCUGGCCGUGCAAACCCGCAAGAGCUGCCGUCGACCAUUCAAAGGAAAGCUGUGAUUAGGAGUGUCUGGAUGGAAAAAGAUACGUGGGCGUUAAUGUUUUUAGUCCUGACAUGUCGUUGCUUCAUCGAAUAAUUACAGAUCAACUAUUUACACACCCUCCAGACACAAGGUGACCAUUUUUAUAUCACAACCGUGUUCUUUAACAUUGUAAAACCAGCGCUAUCUCACCGUGUGGAUCUCUGAACCUCUGAAUGUCUUAUGAAAUAGAAAAAUGUCUCCUCUAAAUGAGCAAAACUGAACUCAUGCUGAAAUCUUUUAAAUGGAUAUUUUUGCAUCGAGCCCCUCCCCCCGCACUCAAUUCCAUUAGAUGACCACCAUGCAUGUGCCAGCAUAUUGCGCUAAUAAAAGCCAUUAAUAUUAAAUAUACUAUAAUAUACACAUCCUACAUACUUAAUGUUGCCUCCGUCCCUGUCAAUGUACAGUUGAUGUCUUAGACAGAAUAUUAAAACCGACACCACAAGCAUGAUAGUGAUCAGUGAAGAGAGAAAUAUUAUUAUGACUAACUAAGACGGUCAAUCGGGUUUGGACAUCUUAGUUACUUUUAUGUGUUUGUGACAUAGUUUUGAAGCCUCAACAUUCUCAUUUAGGCCGCUGCAACCUUGUUUUUUCUUUUUUUGGACGUCUCAUCUUUUGCCGUCUUGGUCUUGCUCAUUCUAAGGGAAUGAAAACACAGUGUGUUUUUUUGCUCCGCCCUAAAGCAUUCCCUGCGUCAUGCUCCUUUUUGACUCUACAUACACCAUUUACUAAAUGAACCUCAUGCUGUAUUCAAGAAGACUUGAAAAGCACAGAUCC